AAAAAGGGUCGGUUGGCUAAAUAUGCCACUCUCGCCUGAAUGGUGAGUGCUGUAUGGCUAUCAAGACAUAUGGCCGACAUAAUUUCUGGGAUUUUCAUAGGGUUGUCUCGUUGGUCGACCCUCCA
This is a non-coding RNA of Nicotiana sylvestris (wood tobacco), 125 nucleotides long. The record is from Rfam. NCBI's taxonomy places the organism in Eukaryota, Viridiplantae, Streptophyta, Magnoliopsida, Solanales, Solanaceae.